UGAGGAAUAUUGGUCAAUGGACGAGAGUCUGAACCAGCCAAGUAGCGUGCAGGAUGACGGCCCUAUGGGUUGUAAACUGCUUUUGUUUGGGAAUAAUCGACAUUACGUGUAAUGUUUUGCAUGUACCAUUCGAAUAAGGACCGGCUAAUUCCGUGCCAGCAGCCGCGGUAAUACGGAAGGUCCAGGCGUUAUCCGGAUUUAUUGGGUUUAAAGGGAGUGUAGGCGGUUGGUUAAGCGUGUUGUGAAAUGUAGAUGCUCAACAUCUGACUUUGAGGGCGGACUGGCUGACUUGAGUACACACAACGUAGGCGGAAUUCAUGGUGGAGCGGUGAAAUGCUUGGAUAUCAUUAAGAACUCCGAUUGCGAAGGCAGCUUACGGGAGUGUUACUGACGCUUGAGCUGGAAGGUGCGGGGAUCGAACAAG
This 424-nucleotide ribosomal RNA is filed under the name Verrucomicrobiota bacterium. RNAcentral's name for it is "Verrucomicrobia bacterium partial 16S ribosomal RNA". It matches the Rfam family "Bacterial small subunit ribosomal RNA", at positions 355 to 776 of the family's 1533-position model. The record is from RNAcentral. Lineage: Bacteria; Pseudomonadati; Verrucomicrobiota.